Long non-coding RNA from Papaver somniferum (opium poppy), 587 nucleotides. RefSeq lists it as uncharacterized. The transcript has 3 exons. Lineage: Eukaryota; Viridiplantae; Streptophyta; Magnoliopsida; Ranunculales; Papaveraceae. The record is from RefSeq and is a predicted model, not a curated record.
CUCGCCUCUCUUAUCCAUCUUCUUCAUCCUCACCCCCAAGGCCAAACUGAAAAAAACCUCGGAAGAAAUCAAUUAAAUCGUUUCUCUUAAACCCAGCCCCUUUCCCCGUCUUCAGUAAACCUUAGAUGUUGUUUCAACGAAACUAAUAAAUCCACCCUUAUAUUGAUUCUUCUUCUAAAAUCCCUCAACUCACUAGUAAAGUUAUAAAUCUCAAAUCUGCUGGGAAUAGAUUCAAUCCAAGUUUUUUUUGUUUUCAUUCUAGAGUUUCUCUAACUAUAUAUAAAUAAAAUAUUAUGAAUGAUUACUGCUACAACUUUUACUUUUCUAGGGUUUGAGAAUCUGGAGCCGUUCUUUGAAGAUUUAGAUUGAUUGGGGUCUAGUCUUCAAUUCAAUUGAAGAUGUAGAUUUUGAUUUAAAUUGAUUGAAAAUCCUCAGAGGGAUUAUAUUGACUUCUACCAGUGGAUAUCAAUUUAUAGGUAGAUCUUUUGGUGGGUUUUGUCUUAGCUACAGAGGCUGUAAGAUGAGAGGAGACUGCCGAUUGAAGCCAUUCUGGAUGAGACAUUGAAAUACUUUCUAGGUGGUACUGG